Molecule: ribosomal RNA, 386 nt
Filed under: uncultured eukaryote
Lineage: Eukaryota
Description: partial 18S ribosomal RNA
Rfam family: Eukaryotic small subunit ribosomal RNA
Source: RNAcentral
CAAUAGCGUAUAUUAAAGUUGCUGCAGUUAAAAAGCUCGUAGUUGGAUCUUGGGAGCGGGCGGGCGGUCCGCCGCGAGGCGAGCCACCGCCCGUCCCCGCCCCUUGCCUCUCGGCGCCCCCUCGAUGCUCUUAGCUGAGUGUCCCGCGGGGCCCGAAGCGUUUACUUUGAAAAAAUUAGAGUGUUCAAAGCAGGCCCGAGCCGCCUGGAUACCGCAGCUAGGAAUAAUGGAAUAGGACCGCGGUUCUAUUUUGUUGGUUUUCGGAACUGAGGCCAUGAUUAAGAGGGACGGCCGGGGGCAUUCGUAUUGCGCCGCUAGAGGUGAAAUUCUUGGACCGGCGCAAGACGGACCAGAGCGAAAGCAUUUGCCAAGAAUGUUUUCAUUAA